AUUGAACGCUGGCGGCAUGCCUUACACAUGCAAGUCGAACGGCAGCACGGGAGCUUGCUCCUGGUGGCGAGUGGCGAACGGGUGAGUAAUACAUCGGAACGUACCCUGAAGUGGGGGAUAACGUAGCGAAAGUUACGCUAAUACCGCAUAUUCUGUGAGCAGGAAAGAGGGGGAUCGCAAGACCUCUUGCUUUAGGAGCGGCCGAUGUCGGAUUAGCUAGUUGGUGAGGUAAAGGCUCACCAAGGCGACGAUCCGUAGCGGGUCUGAGAGGAUGAUCCGCCACACUGGGACUGAGACACGGCCCAGACUCCUACGGGAGGCAGCAGUGGGGAAUUUUGGACAAUGGGCGCAAGCCUGAUCCAGCCAUGCCGCGUGAGUGAAGAAGGCCUUCGGGUUGGUUAAAGGAC
RNAcentral lists this ribosomal RNA (407 nucleotides) under uncultured bacterium. Its description in RNAcentral is "bacterial SSU rRNA". It matches the Rfam family "Bacterial small subunit ribosomal RNA", at positions 30 to 431 of the family's 1533-position model. The record is from RNAcentral.